This 443-nucleotide ribosomal RNA is filed under the name uncultured bacterium. Its description in RNAcentral is "partial 16S ribosomal RNA". It matches the Rfam family "Bacterial small subunit ribosomal RNA", at positions 338 to 795 of the family's 1533-position model. The record is from RNAcentral.
CCUACGGGUGGCAGCAGUGGGGGAUAUUGGACAAUGGGGGGAACCCUGAUCCAGCGACGCCGCGUGAGUGAUGAAGUAUUUCGGUAUGUAAAGCUCUGUCCUCAGGGAAGAUAGAAAUGACGGUACCUGACCAAGCAGCCCCGGCUAACCUCGGGCCAGCAGCCGCGGUAAGACGUAGGGGGCAAGCGUUAUCCGGAAUUACUGGGUGUAAGGGGAGCGUAGACGGUUUAGUAAGUCUGGAGUGAAAGGCCGGGGCCCAACCCCGGGAAUGCGCUGGAAACUAUUGAACUUGAGUGCAGGAGAGGAAAGUGGAAUUCCUAGUGUAGCGGUGAAAUGCGUAGAUAUUAGGAGGAACACCAGUGGCGAAGGCGGCUUACUGGACUGUAACUGACGUUGAGGCUCGAAAGCGUGGGGAGCAAACAGGAUUAGAUACCCGGGUAGUC